GGGCGAGUGGCGGAACGGCAGACGCAGCGGACUUAAAAUCCGCCGGGGACGACCCCGUGUGGGUUCGAAUCCCACCUCGCCCA
Molecule: transfer RNA, 83 nt
Filed under: Armatimonadota bacterium
Lineage: Bacteria; Bacillati; Armatimonadota
Description: Armatimonadetes bacterium (hot springs metagenome) tRNA-Leu
Rfam family: tRNA
About the family: Transfer RNA (tRNA) molecules are approximately 80 nucleotides in length. Their secondary structure includes four short double-helical elements and three loops (D, anti-codon, and T loops).
Source: RNAcentral